This 465-nucleotide ribosomal RNA is filed under the name uncultured bacterium. RNAcentral's name for it is "partial 16S ribosomal RNA". It matches the Rfam family "Bacterial small subunit ribosomal RNA", at positions 338 to 795 of the family's 1533-position model. The record is from RNAcentral.
CCUACGGGAUGCAGCAGUAGGGAAUCUUCCACAAUGGGCGAAAGCCUGAUGGAGCAACGCCGCGUGGGUGAAGAAGGUCUUCGGAUCGUAAAACCCUGUUGUUAGAGAAGAAAGUGCGUGAGAGUAACUGUUCACGUUUCGACGGUAUCUAACCAGAAAGCCACGGCUAACUACGUGCCAGCAGCCGCGGUAAUACGUAGGUGGCAAGCGUUAUCCGGAUUUAUUGGGCGUAAAGGGAACGCAGGCGGUCUUUUAAGUCUGAUGUGAAAGCCUUCGGCUUAACCGGAGUAGUGCAUUGGAAACUGGGAGACUGGAGUGCAGAAGAGGAGAGUGGAACUCCAUGUGUAGCGGUGAAAUGCGUAGAUAUAUGGAAGAACACCAGUGGCGAAAGCGGCUCUCUGGUCUGUAACUGACGCUGAGGUUCGAAAGCGUGGGUAGCAAACAGGAUUAGAUACCCCAGUAGUC